CCUACGGGUAGCAGCAGUGGGGAAUAUUGGACAAUGGGCGAAAGCCUGAUCCAGCCAUGCCGCGUGUGUGAAGAAGGCCUUCGGGUUGUAAAGCACUUUCAGUGGGGAAGAAAGCCUUGGGGCUAAUACCCUCGAGGAAGGACAUCACCCACAGAAGAAGCACCGGCUAACUCCGUGCCAGCAGCCGCGGUAAUACGGAGGGUGCGAGCGUUAAUCGGAAUUACUGGGCGUAAAGCGCGCGUAGGCGGUCUGAUAAGCCGGUUGUGAAAGCCCCGGGCUCAACCUGGGAACGGCAUCCGGAACGGUCAGGCUAGAGUGCAGGAGAGGAAGGUAAAAUUCCCGGUGUAGCGGUGAAAUGCGUAGAGAUCGGGAGGAAUACCAGUGGCGAAGGCGGCCUUCUGGACUGACACUGACGCUGGGGUGCGAAAGCGUGGGUAGCAAACAGGAUUAGAUACCCUGGUAGC
Molecule: ribosomal RNA, 464 nt
Filed under: Vreelandella stevensii
Lineage: Bacteria; Pseudomonadati; Pseudomonadota; Gammaproteobacteria; Oceanospirillales; Halomonadaceae
Description: partial 16S ribosomal RNA
Rfam family: Bacterial small subunit ribosomal RNA
Source: RNAcentral